UACGGAGGGGGCUAGCGUUGUUCGGAAUUACUGGGCGUAAAGGGCGCGUAGGCGGCUCAUUAAGUCAGGCGUGAAAGCCCCGGGCUCAACCUGGGAACUGCGCUUGGGACUGGUGGGCUUGAGACCGGGAGGGGAUGGCGGAAUUCCCAGUGUAGAGGUGAAAUUCGUAGAUAUUGGGAAGAACACCGGUGGCGAAGGCGGCCAUCUGGACCGGAUCUGACGCUGAGGCGCGAAAGCGUGGGGAGCAAACAGGAUUAGAUACCCUGGUAGUCCACGCCGUAAACGAUGUGCGCUAGACGUUGGGGGUUUGGCCCCCGGUGUCGCCGCUAACGCAUUAAGCGCACCGCCUGGGGAGUACGGCCGCAAGGUUA
Molecule: ribosomal RNA, 371 nt
Filed under: uncultured bacterium
Lineage: Bacteria
Description: bacterial SSU rRNA
Rfam family: Bacterial small subunit ribosomal RNA
Source: RNAcentral